CAGUCGUACCGAUGAGAAUUCAGCUCUUCAAGUGCGAACUUGUGGGCGUGCGUGAGCUUUAAAACCUCGCUGUUUGCAACGUUUGUAUUUUUUGGGUGUACUUAUUCGUGUGGUAAGUUAACAUCAAUUUUGGUUGUCAUAAAAUGAUUGGAGGAAUGUAGCUUCGAUCUCGUAUUGAAGUGUUAUAGCCUUUGGUAGAUGUGACGAUCGGGAUUGAGGAUUGCAACGGGAUACCCGUUCGGGGCUACCUGUCUGAUCUCUGAUUGUUGCUCUGGUGCUGAAAGCUUGCUUAUGGUUAUCAAAGUCGAUGGUCAAUAGG
RNAcentral lists this ribosomal RNA (319 nucleotides) under Glomus sp. (unid). Lineage: Eukaryota; Fungi; Glomeromycota; Glomeromycetes; Glomerales; Glomeraceae. The record is from RNAcentral.